Small nuclear RNA from Nannospalax galili (Upper Galilee mountains blind mole rat), 104 nucleotides. The record is from Ensembl. NCBI's taxonomy places the organism in Eukaryota, Metazoa, Chordata, Mammalia, Rodentia, Spalacidae.
GUGUUUGCUUCGAAACAUAUACUAAAAAUGGAAUGAUACAGGGAAACAGGUUAGCAUGGACCCUGUACAAGGAUGGCAUGCAAAUUUGAGCGGUCCACAUUAAA